RNA transcript from Capsicum annuum, 2499 nucleotides. RefSeq lists it as uncharacterized. The record is from RefSeq and is a predicted model, not a curated record. The transcript is spliced from 6 exons. Lineage: Eukaryota; Viridiplantae; Streptophyta; Magnoliopsida; Solanales; Solanaceae.
ACCACUCUCCUUUUGUUGGAUAUCUACUCUUUCAGUCAUUUUCAAUUUUGCUUCUAGGGUGUCACUCAGUUCUUGAAGUUAAAAAUAAUUUAGUCCUUCAUAUGAUCCUUCUGUAUUUAUUGACUUAAGCCUUAAAGCACGCUUUUUCUCUGCUUCAAUCAACUUCUCCAUUUUAGUUAAAUCCUCGUUUUGAUAAGGUUUGGCGAGAGGUUUUGGACUAUCAGUAUCAGGUAGGGGAUUCAGAAGCUUAUCUACCACCGAAAUGAUACAAGGGUGUCCGAUAAAGUACACACUUGUUUUAGAUUGGGAAAAACUAUAGUUGUAGCUUCAACACCGCAGAGGGUAGAGAGCUCGCUCGCCUUCUUAAAAAGGCCAUCACGCCUUUCAGAAAAUCUCACAGAUGAUUUAGCCUUCGAAAAUAUGAAGAAGAAGGACUAUCAUCCAUGAUAUAGUUUAUUUGCUCCAGCAGCUUGGAGCCAGUUAAACUAGAACAUGGCAUGUUGCCUUGGAGAGAAACGCGAGAAGAUUUUACUGCAGGUGAUGACCCUGAACGCCCAACAAAGAAACCCCGUAGGCAGCGUAAGGGUUGCUUUUACUUUGCCUCUGUAACUUUUGUUUGAGCUUAUUAAGAGGAGAGUUUUCAGCAAGUAGACAAUGGAAGAUAAGUUAUACUUGUCCUGGUCAAAAUAGAUAAUUGCUAAUAACAACAUUGUCGCGAGAAUUAGUGCUGCCUAGAUCAUAGAUAAUACUAAUAACAAAAUUGUAGGAAAAUAGAUAAUCUUUAAAUCCUCAUUUUGUUUCAAUUUCAUUUUCAUUUUUUUUUUCCUUGUGAAGUAAUAUUUAGGGAUUCCGUCGAUUUGCAUAGUGAACCCUAGGACUUUAUGAAUUUCACCCAGUUUUCUUUGGGAUAUAUGGAAACAGAAAAGAAAGCUUCCCAUACUGAUGUUCAUGAAGAAAGAGAACAAUCAUUUUGUUGCUGUAAAUCAAACAAUUCAUUGUGGUUUUUGAGGGGAGCUGAAGAGCUUCCAAGUACUGAAUUUGAUUUGAAAGAGGAGGACAAAAGAUACAUGAGUAUGUGCAGAGUGGUCGUAUCAUCAUGUAUUUUUGGAAGCUCUGAUUUUUUAAGAAGGCCGACAAGCAGAUUGAUCAGUGAGUAUUCAAAGAAGAACGUAUGUUUUAUUAUGUUUGUUGAUGAGGGAACUCUUUCGACGCUCUCAAAAGAAGUAAACACACCUGAUGAUGGUGGAUUUGUUGGAUUGUGGAAAUUAGUUGUCGUCAUAUUAUGUUUGUUGAUGAGGGAACUCUUUCGACGCUCUCAAAAGAAGUAAACACACCUGAUGAUGGUGGAUUUGUUGGAUUGUGGAAAUUAGUUGUCGUCAAGAACUUACCAUACACAGAUAUGCAUAAAACGGGGAAAGUACCAAAGUUUUUGAUGCAUCGCCUCUUUCCUUCUUCUAGGUGAUUUUUCAUAUCCCUAGCUGGACUUUUAUGCUUAGUCUAUCUGGCUCCAACAACAACAAGAAUAUACCCAACGUAUUCCUACAUAGUGGGGUCUGGGGAGGGUAGAGUGUACGCAAACCAUACCACUACCUCCGAAGAUUAAUUUGUUCUCCUCUUGCGGCAAUUUUUAGGUUCUCUAUUUGGCUAGAUAGCAACUGCGGCUCUCAACCAAUCCAAUGUUAAUAAUUGAUCAUUUCUUGUGGCAAACUGGCUCUGAGUAUGCCAUCUCAAAUCAUUAUACUCGGCACUGUGUUUGGGAAGAAGUACUCCAAAAUAAGCGUCUAAAUAAGUACAACCACACUGCUAUUGAUGAACAGUUUUUGUCGUACCAAUCUGAUGGUCUUACCAAAUUUGACCCUUAAGAUCCGAAUCCAUCUCUGCCAAGCUAUGUGCAUGAAGGCUCUUUUAUUCUCUUGCCUCACUUCACGUGACCAACUAAGCUUUGUAUUUACAUUCCUAAAGCUGAAGAGAAUGAAUCCAUCCAAUCCGUUCCAUUUAAAUAUGUUUAAGGACUGCGAGUGUAGGUCACUGGUCAAGUUGUUCCAUCACAGAGAGCCAUCUGCUCCACCUCCUCCAAGAAUAGUUUGAUGCUCCUCAUUCCUUACAAGGACUUGGUAAACUCGGACUCUUGCUUCAACCCAUUUGAACGAACUUUCAGGUAGAAGAUGAACUGAUACAUUCUUUGGCAACUAGAGAUUAUACAUUUUUGGGCGCGGAAUUAAUUUUAAGUCUACUAAGUGGAUGAUAGAAAUUUCGUGGAAUAUCUUUGGUUUGUCAUAACUCAUCUGCCGUUGCGUGAUUGAGGAUGACUUAGGAAGCUCGUGAGAUGUCACUGCAGCUUGAAUUAUCAUAACUGUUGGAUGUUAUCCGAGACUUCUUCUGAGUUCAGAGCUGAACGAGUUUCCUAAAGAAGUUUGUAAACAAAUGUAUUCAACUAUAGAAGAUCCUCCACAUACAGUAAAGACAUAAUACAUUAAUAUAUGACUCUAAACCUGACAC